AUGGCUGUGUCGCGGGGGCUGCGGCGCUGCCAGCGGGCGUUCGCCUGGCUGCCCGUCCUCAUCAUCGCCCUCGUCGUGCUCUGGUCCUACUACGCCUACGUGUUCGAGCUGUGCCUGGUGACUCUGAGCAACCCUGUGGAAAAAGUGGCCUAUCUUAUAAUAUUCCAUAUUCUCUUUGUGCUCUUUGUGUGGACGUAUUGGAAGUCUAUUUUUACCCUCCCAGAGCAGCCAGGCAAAAAGUACCAUAUGUCCCUUGCUGACCAAGAGCGUUAUGAGAACGAAGACAGACCAGAGGUGCAGAGGCAAAUCCUCGCCGAAAUCGCAAGGAAGCUGCCGGUGUACACAAGGACGGGGAGCGGAGGUAUUCGAUUCUGUGACAGGUGCCAGCUCAUAAAACCCGAUCGUUGUCACCAUUGCUCCGUUUGUGCUAUAUGUGUGCUAAAAAUGGAUCAUCACUGUCCGUGGGUGAAUAACUGCGUUGGAUUUUCUAACUACAAAUUCUUUCUGCUCUUCUUAGCGUAUUCUUUGUUAUAUUGCCUGUAUAUCGCUGCAACAGUCUUCAAGUAUUUCAUUAAGUAUUGGACCGGUGAACUGACUAAUGGACGGUCCAAGUUUCAUGUCCUUUUCCUUCUCUUCAUCGCCGUCAUGUUCUUUGUAAGCCUUCUCUUUCUGUUCGGCUACCAUUGUUGGCUCGUUAGUAGAAACAGAUCUACUUUAGAGGCUUUCUCAGCUCCCGUGUUUCAAAACGGCCCAGAUAAAAAUGGAUUCAAUCUUGGCUUUGUAAAGAACCUUCUGCAAGUGUUUGGAGAAGAAAAAAAGCUGUGGUUACUACCUAUUGCCUCUAGCCAGGGCGAUGGACACUUUUUCCCCAUGAGAGCUCUGUGUGAAGCUCAGAAUCCUCUCCUGGCAAAUGAGGAGCAGUGGGAAGACGAUGGAAUAGACGAAGAGCCUCAUGGUAAGAUUCUGGUGAAGCUUCAUCCCUUGCCAUAGAAAAGGAGACGUAGCAGCUUGAAAAUGCAGCAGUAUAAAGCUUGUGCAGAAAGCUUCCCUCUCAGGAGCCAACAUCCCUUCUCUUGGCAUGGACUUCGGUUUUGAGGGGCAGAAAACAAGUGGAUCUUCAAGAUGAGAAAACAUCAUGAAGCAUCGUCUGAUUGGAAUCUGCAUUCUAGAGUGCUUCUCCAGAAAUCCUGCUACCCAGAUGUUUCAAGGCUUUAUAAGUUUAAGUUACAGAGUGAACAGAACAGUUUUAUAGAGUGAUUCCGGCCAAUGUUCUUUGGCCUGCUCUCUUUAUUUUAUAAAUAAUAUAUAUUUUUUAUUCAAAAUAGGUAAAGAGUAUUGAUGUGAGGGCAUUUCCAAAGGCCUUUUCAUUUUGCAAACAUCAGGGACUCAAGUUCUUGAAAUUCUUCCAAGCCAUAAUAUUCUUGGGGAUGGUAUUUAUUUUGAGACUGAUUCUCCAGCCUUCUCUGACAAGUGGCAUUUUCUAACAUGUUUGAAGUUCUGUCUGAGUCAGUUCAACUGAUGAGAGACAGACCCACUUAAAUUUGGCACUAAAUUGAUAGUUGGAUGUAAGUGUGUUGAAAGAGAAAGCGCUGAACAUGCAUAAAUGCAUGUGCAGCUGUGUAUGAAAAUAGAAUAUUCACACUGCCAGUAUCAAGAUUCAAGAAUAUUGUGGCCAUAGGUUUUUUUGCAUUUUUUCUAGGAGGGUGUAAAUUGUCUUAUAAUGCCCUUUAAGGCCAAUGCUGCUUGCAGGCACCUCAAAUGCAAACGGGAACUUAGGACUGUGCAGUUUGCAUUAAUUCCUAGGGCUAAAAUAUCAACUCGUUCCUGGAUCGGUGUUUGAUGGAAAUGUGUGUGUUUAUGGAGUCGGAAAGGAAGACGUAAAUUCAAAACACAUGAGUUGGAAACGUGCACUGAAGAUUUAGCUCCAACAGUGGUGUUUGGAGUUUACGCUCCACGAAUCACAGAAUCCCAGAAUGUCAGGGGUUGGAAGGGACCUGGAAAGCUCAUCCAGUGCAAUCCCCCCAUGGAGCAGGAACACCCAGAUGAGGUUACACAGGAAGGUGUCCAGGCGGGUUGGAAUGUCUGCACAGAAGGAGACUCCACAACCUCCCUGGGCAGCCUGGGCCAGGCUCUGCCACCCUCACCAGGAACAAGUUUCCUCUCAGAUUUACGUGGAACCUCCUGUGUUCCAGUUUGCACCCAUUGCCCCUUGUCCUGUCACUGGUUGUCACCCAGAAGAGCCUGGCUCCAUCCUCCUGACACUCAGCCUUUCUGUAUUUAUAACCCUUAAUGAGGUACAAAGAUGGAUUUACUCCCAUAAUGCUGAAGAAACAACUGAUUUAUUUAAGUUUUUUCUGAUUUUUUCAUAAGUAAAUGUAUUGAAUGGUGAUUCAGAGGUUUUUCAGCACUAAGAGGUGAUGAGAUUUUUUUCUUCGUUUUGCUCCAUUUGCAGGCAAAGGAAUGUACCACUGUUUUUAUUCUGUGAAAUGGAACUGAGAAUUUGCUGGCAGGAUUAUAUGCAUUUUUCUAGACCUGAGUCUUUUUUUAUCUGCAUGAUUCAGACCUGGCAUCUCCAUCACUCAUGGUUUGGUAUUGGUUUACUGCCUUUAGGAUCAUUUGUAAUCAUUUUCUAUCCCAUUUUUGUGUUUAUCAGCCCAUUUGUGUUGACAAUGACCACAGAAGCAGCUGUGCGUGUCGUGAGAAACUACUUGAUAAGGAUCUGUUUGGUGACAAAGGCCUGGCCUACAGACUAAAUCCUUUUUUCCUCCUUUUACUCUGCGGUUGCUACCAGUGGAAAUAUGUUGGUGAGACAGAAGAGAUUCUGGCAGAGACUUUCUGCCUGUAAGAGUAGAUGUUUAACCACCUGGAUGUUCCUGCGCCGACCACUUUAAUCACAUCUGAGUGGUUCUGGCAGCAAACAGCUCUUGAGUGCUGAAACUAUUUUUCCUGUCAAUGGAAACCCGCAUUUCUGCUGGAAAUCUUGUGGUGGCUCUUAAGCCGGGUUUGAUGACAGGUGGCACUAGAACGAAUCGCCUCAUUUCUGGCAAAAUGUGUUCCAGCGGGGAAUCCGGAGAGGAAGGCGGCAGCAAAACACAGCAGGAGAUGUACAGGAAUUCAGCACCAACAGAGGUGCUGGUGGUGCCUUUGAAAACUCUGAGUUGCUUGUUUGUGAAGCCGGGGAGCUGAUUUGGUGACUCCGUGUGGCUCUGCCCGCUGGGGUGUGUGUCUGAGCCGGGAGCGGCAGAGCUGUGUCUGCAGCCGUGUGGGUUUACAGGAGUCUGCUGAGCAGGCUCUUGGCUCUGUGCUGGAUUUGGUUGUUCCCGGUCGGUCUCUCGGUGCCGUUUCUCUGCCGAGCGGCAGCAGAAGAGCUGCCGAGCAGAUGUGCAGGCAGCGUCCUGCCGGCUGCAGCGCCGCGCCUGGGGUGGCACGGAAAAUCAGGCUUUGUCUUCUAAUGAUUGUUAAAACAUGUUUUUAUGACAACGCAGCUCUCCAGCUCAGAUUUAGAACCAGCUUUAAACGUUUCCAAGUAACUUACUCAGUAACUUUUCAUGUGAUUAAUUAUGGCUGAUUUUUGGUUUUCUCGAAGCAGCUCAGCCUCACUUGGUUACACCAAACUCUUGCCCAGAUAGAAACAAUAAAUAGUUUGAGCGCUUCCGAACCACUUCAAAUCGAUGUUCACACGUCAGGCUUUUGAGAGCUUCAGAAUGAAACAAAUACAAAAGUUGUGUAAAAAUGAGGCAGAACAAAACGUGCACAAAACGUGUGUCUGAUGCCUGAAAAAGCUCCAUUUUGUUCCUGUGUGGUUAUUUAGAAGAGGUUUCCCUGCGCUGCACCGGCACUUGUCCUGUCGGGAGGUUGCUCUGUAGGGAAACUUGGUGGUUCCCAAAAUACAACUGCUGAGAGCUUUUUAAUCAGUGCAUUAUUGCAGCUGGUGCUGCAGACACAACUGCUGGGCUACUGAGGAGAAUACGCUGUUCCCAAUUAGUAGUUUUUGCCUUUAAAAGGGCAAAAACUAGAGAUCUAGGCAGUGUAAAAGCAGUAAUUAAACUUUAAAACUUGUUGGAUUAAACCUGAGCUGCUAUUUACUAUUUAAAUUGACUUUUUUCCUUAGCUCCUGAAAGAAAGUUGCAUACAAGGAAUGUGAUAAAUGCAGGAUGCACAUAAUUCUGUCGAACAUGCUGGAGAAAUGCACUGGAAAACAGCAAUUCCUCAGGCUGGCUGUGGCCACUGCUGAAGGUACCAAAAGAGAUAAAGUUUUCAGCCAAGUGCGGGGUCGUUGUUUUAACGUGCAAAUAGUUCCUUAAGGGGUAGAAUCCAUUUCCACUUUUGCUGGUGUAGGAUGGAUCUGUAUGGUGCCUUGUGGAAAAGGCCCAUAGGAUUUCUCUCAUGAUGUUUACUGCCAGCCUCUACCUAGUUAGGUGCUGUAAAUCCCGUCGCACCCCGCAAAAAAACCAUUCAACUCCUGAAGUUUGAAUCUCAGUUCUGAUGCUGAUGGCAGCCGUGGGACCGCAGUGCUCCCUGCAGCAGGCUGUUCGCUCUGGUUUAGCGUCAGAUCCACACUACAGAAUAAAGUAGAAAAGUGGUUUUCAGCUCAGGGUCAGAAACAGCUCUUGGUGGAUCUCACACUGCCAGUGGAGCCUGAGGUGUAGAAGCACCUGUAUUUAGAGAAUAAUGACUUUAUUCCCUUAAUGUAAUGUAUCCCAGGAGGCGGAUGUGACUGCCAAGGUCAUUUUGAUGAGACCAUGGAAGCAGGAACUGGGAGCACCAGACACCGUCUGUAACUCUAGCAAUAGUCGCCAGGUGGUAGUGGAUGUGACACGGGUCAGACUGGCUGGGAGCAGCUCUGUAAGUGUUCAACACAACCCUGGGUUUGUCACCUGGACUUGAGGCGCAGAAAUGUGAGAGUUCAGCCUGGGUACAGUGUGUCCUACCUUGCCUUGGCCCCUUCUUUCUUUCUAUUUCAGCGUUUUACAAACGGUUUUCACGUUCUUCACGUGAGUGAGGACUUUCUCUGCUAUAAGCAACUUUUCCAAGUGAAUGUCAUCACGUGAAAGAAAAAACGUUCUUGCUGGGUUUUACCGUGGUACCUGCUACUGUUUCAUCCCUGUACUCCUAGAUUAGUGCUCCAAAAUAACGGAUCACAACCAAGCACCUCCUCACCUCUCCCCAUUCUCUCCCAUUUACAUUCAGGUACGCUGUACUCUUAAAAAAAGAGAAAACAUCAUAUUGAUGUUUCUAUGAGUAGUAUUUGUUGUAAGUCCCCUCCUUGGCCCCCGAGUCCUGUCCAAGGAAUUAGGACUCUGCAAGCCUCACUGCACUGCAAUUUUGUCUCUUGCUGAAUUGGCACAGGAUGUUUUUGGAGUAGAAUAAGAUUGUUUUCCUUUAAACGGGAAGCAAUAGUGUAUGUUUUUAAUAGCUGUACCUAGUGCAGGUAGUGACCUGUCACUGACAAGAGCGGGGAAGCUUCCUCAGAGCAAUGAAUGUUUCCUUCCUGGAACAAACCAGCCAUGUGUUCAGCAGAAUCAGUACUAGCCGUAGUUUUUGAGUUGUGUAUGCUGGUGUGGACUGAAAGCACAACUUGGUAUUGGCUACCAAAUCUGCUGCAUAAAGUCUGUAACGUAAUAUGAAUGUAAAGUGUCAAGGGAAAGAAAAAAUAACCUUUUCUUCCCCCAAGUUGGACACAAAGAGCAACGUGCUCAGGGGCUUUCAGGACCCGCCGCCUCCCACGCAGUCGCUUCGCCAGCGGAGCAGAUUUGCUGUUUGCCUGGCUGGCUCACCCACAGAUGUGCUGAAUUAGGCUAAGGAGGUGCUGCUGACCUUGUUUAUUAAGCCAGAAUUAAUUAACUCAAAGGGUCACUUUCAUUUCGGUGCCUCCUCCGGUACAAAUUUUUGAAAUUGACCCAUGGUACUUGAAAAUACCUUCAUUUUAUGGAUAUUUUUCCAAUUCUGUCAGCUUCUGUUUUGUUACAAGGCACUUGCACAAAUAAAGUCGCCCUGAAAUGAUGGGUUAAGGGGUUUGUGUGGCCGAGCACGCUGCUCGCUCACAGAACGGGCUGUUGAACCCCUUGGCUGUGCCAGUACCUUGUGCUUGACACUUAUUUCCUUCCCUGGUGAUUAACGUUGAGAUUACACCCGCUGUUAUGCAGUUUUAUUCUUUCUUCCAUCUCCCUUUGAGAGAGUCUUUCCUCUUCCUCCUGAAUAGCCAGUUACAAUAUUACCAGCUUUUCAGCUUUUUUGGGUACUGCGAAGGUGAGCAGGUGUCAUUUCAAGCAAUUGUGCCACGUAUUUUGUUUGUGACUGAUCUUAAUGUUUGUCAGGUAUCAGUUUGUAGAUCUCAUUAUUCAGGCCGAGCCUGCUUUGCUCGGAGCAGUGGGAUCCAACUUCCUGCGUUGCUUUUCUCUUUUUCCUAAAAAUCAUAUUUCUUCAUUUUCUAGCUUCAAUUUGGAAUGUCAACCUUCUGAAAUAAAACGUAAGUUUACAUUUCAGACGUCAGCCUGUAAGUGGGUUAUGCUUUCAUGGUGCUUGAAAUAUUUUUGUCUUCUUUAUGAGGUUUUAAGAUUUACGGCAGCAUUUGUAAAACUUUAGUGCAUAAUAACCACUGUUUAAAAGAGAGUUUUGUUAAGGAGAAAAAAAACCCUGACCAAAAAAAACAAAAACCAAACCAAAAAGGACCAAGAGAUCAGCAUCUGGUGUCCUGAUGGCACAGUGAACCACUGGGGCUGGUACUUUUGCCAGCCACGUAUCAAAUAGAAAAGGUCACAUUCUGUUAUCAAUUAUCUGGUUUUCAUCUGAAAGCGACUCCUUAUUGUUGUGACAAUAAAAAUUAAAUCUCAGGAGCAGGUAAGCACAGACCUGUCUGUAUAUAUGGGAAUUCAGCUUUUGGUUUUUGCCUGUUUCAGUCAAGUGAGCGGGUUUCACUCGCUGCUGUUACCAUUAAGCAGCAAACCUUGCGCUGAGCGGAACAUGAACUGCAGGAGCCGUUCUGGGGUCAGAAAGCUCCGUUUGGGAACCGAUGUUCUAUUUACUACCUCUUAGCCUGGGCCAGAGCCCCCUUCGCUGUCAGCCACCAUAGUGCGACGCCUGUGUCGUACCCAGGGAGAGCGGCGUAGGGAACUCUGCCAAAAACUGCUGAAUCGUUAGAAUUAGAAACAUAAAUGUCAUUGUAUUGAUUUGAUUUUUUUUUUACAUUCAGCUGCUUUUUAGAUCACCAGCGUGGGCUGGUGUUGGUAUUUAUAAGUAUCUUGUGUAAAAUCACCACUGUUCUCUUCAGCUGAGGACCCGCCGCUCGGAGCUGUGUUGCUUAAUACCGAUUUCUCACCCCUUAAUUUAAUAGGAAGCAAAUGUUUUCUCAUGAAUGUCACCAUCUGCUGACAACAUGUGGGAUGUUUGGUCAGGUUCAGGAGUUUAAUGCUGCUGCCGGCAUUGCGACUUUUGAUAUCAAAUGGGUUUUUACAAAAGCUUUGGAUACUCAUUUUUACUGUCCGCCAAACAUUCUGACUUUUCCGAUGAAUGCUUUGUGUAUGUUCCACUGGCAUUUUCCAAGUGUUUGUAUGGUUUCUACAGCUGAAUAUCCUGAAGUUUCUGCUUUGUCGUUUUGUAUUAUGGUUUAUACUAGAAAGCCUGCACAGUGUAUACUGCACUGCAGGCCAGGACUGCAUUAAAACCAUUUUGGGCUCAUGUGUCA
Columba livia (rock pigeon) is the source of this 7684-nucleotide RNA transcript. It is a transcript of the gene named zinc finger DHHC-type palmitoyltransferase 15, with no coding region annotated. The transcript is spliced from 12 exons. NCBI's taxonomy places the organism in Eukaryota, Metazoa, Chordata, Aves, Columbiformes, Columbidae. The record is from RefSeq and is a predicted model, not a curated record.